This 320-nucleotide ribosomal RNA is filed under the name uncultured eukaryote. RNAcentral describes it as "partial 18S ribosomal RNA". It matches the Rfam family "Eukaryotic small subunit ribosomal RNA", at positions 1470 to 1796 of the family's 1831-position model. The record is from RNAcentral.
CCCCUAGAUGUUCUGGGCCGCACGCGCGCUACACUGAACAGUUCAACAAGUCUUAACCUUGACCGAUAGGUCUGGGUAAUCUUUGAACGCUGUUCGUGAUUGGGAUAGACCUUUGCAAUUAUGGGUCUUCAACGAGGAAUUCCUAGUAAACGCAAGUCAUCAGCUUGCAUUGAUUACGUCCCUGCCCUUUGUACACACCGCCCGUCGCACCUACCGAUUGAAUGGUCCGGUGAAAUCUCGGGACGGCGGCUUGGUCGCUUGCGUCCGACUGCUGAAACUUGAUUAAACCAUNUNAUUUAGNGGAAGGUGAANUCGUANCA